CCGAUCGCCCGUAAGGGGACCGGAUGUCGAAGGGCGCCAGCUCUUUGGCGCCCUCGUAAGAUCCAUGUUGCUCAAUGGAGGAUAUGGUUAUGAGGA
This is a small RNA of 96 nucleotides. It matches the Rfam family "Repression of heat shock gene expression (ROSE) element". Rfam says of the family: This family represents a 5' UTR cis-regulatory element found in heat shock mRNAs and is known as the ROSE (repression of heat shock gene expression) element. The ROSE element is a negative regulator of heat shock gene expression.